ACAAAUGAUGAGACAUUAUUAUAGGAAUUGCCGUCUGAUCGACAAAUGACGCUAAUUUAUUUUCUGAAG
Molecule: small nucleolar RNA, 69 nt
Organism: Nilaparvata lugens (brown planthopper)
Lineage: Eukaryota; Metazoa; Arthropoda; Insecta; Hemiptera; Delphacidae
Product: small nucleolar RNA SNORD49
Exons: 1
Source: RefSeq, a predicted model, not a curated record